CAGUGACUGAACUAUUCUUAUUGUUAUCUGUUUAGAGUUUAAAAUAUGGUACCAGUGAUACCAGACGGGGAGUGUCAUGCCUUCAGCAUUUGCUUUGUGUAGAUCUGAUUACUUUUACUACAGAAAGUUGUAUUAUUGCCCCAUCUGGUGGUCAGUCCCAUCAAUUAAUUUGACCCUCAUAGCCUCUUGUAGCCAGUCUUGCAAUGCAUUCUGGGAUGAAGAAGCUGGGAUCAGCCUUUCUACUUCCCUCAUGGUCCCAGACAGUCAUGCUUUACAUGGGUCCAACUCUCAUAUAGCAUUCGAUGUUUUACCUCAUUAUCACACAUCAUCAUAUCGUAUUGUACAUCAAAUCAACGCAUCAUAUCUGUGAUCCCUUUACUGAAUAAUAAAACACCGUUCUACAAACA
This is a long non-coding RNA of Pseudophryne corroboree (corroboree frog), 407 nucleotides long. RefSeq lists it as uncharacterized. The record is from RefSeq and is a predicted model, not a curated record. The transcript has 2 exons. NCBI's taxonomy places the organism in Eukaryota, Metazoa, Chordata, Amphibia, Anura, Myobatrachidae.